RNAcentral lists this ribosomal RNA (774 nucleotides) under uncultured Neocallimastigales. RNAcentral describes it as "partial large subunit ribosomal RNA". It matches the Rfam family "Eukaryotic large subunit ribosomal RNA", at positions 24 to 629 of the family's 3401-position model. The record is from RNAcentral. Lineage: Eukaryota; Fungi; Neocallimastigomycota; Neocallimastigomycetes; Neocallimastigales.
GUAGUCUCGCACAGAUGCAUAUCAAUAAGCGGAGGAAAAGAAACUAACAAGGAUUCCCUUAGUAACGGCGAGUGAAGCGGGAAGAGCUCAAAUUUGAAAUCUUCAAGGUUUUACCUUGACGAAUUGUAGUUUAAAGAAGUGUUUUCUGUUGAAGUUUUGGUAAAAGUUCUUUGGAAUAGGACAUCAUAGAGGGUGAGAAUCCCGUAUUUGACCAUUAUUUUCAGCUGUGUGAUACACUUUCAAAGAGUCGGAUUGUUUGGGAAUGCAGUCCAAAAUGGGUGGUAAAUUUCAUCUAAAGCUAAAUAUUGGCGAGAGACCGAUAGCGAACAAGUACCGUGAGGGAAAGAUGAAAAGAACUUUGAAAAGAGAGUUAAACAGUACGUGAAAUUGUCAAAAGGGAAGCGUUUGACACCAGUGUUGUUUUCUCGAAAAUCAAUUAAAAAGAGUUAGAUUUUGUUGUGUAUUGACCUUAACAGCUUGCAUUUCAAUUUUCUUGCUUUUUUUAAUGCACUUUUCGUUUAACAAGUCAACAUCAGUUUCUUUUGUUGUAAAAAGGUCAUUGGAAGGUGGCUUUCUUUUCGGAGAAAGUGUUUAUAGCCUUUGACUCCUGCAAUCGGAGAGACUGAGGUCUGCAGCGUAGAUCCUUCGGGGUUAGAUACAUUUGUGCUAAGUUAUAGCUUUUUAUAGACAACUUGUUGACUAUGAUUAGUCUUGUAGCUUACUCGCUUAUGCUAUUUUACCUACGCUUAGGAUGUUGAUGUGAUACUGCGAGCA